GGGAGGAAGCCGAAGUACGGCGGCUGAAAGUUCAGUUGGUCCACGAGCAGCAGGCAGUCAAGGACGCCGAGGCGGAGUCCAAGGUCUUGAGGAGGCUUCGAGAGUCGGAGGAUGAGCGCCGGCGAUUCCACCGGGCGUUCCAGGAUAUGCUGCUGAAAAAGAUGGAGCUAGAAGAAGAAAUCGAAAAUUUGAGACAAUCCAUAGCGGGGGCUAGAACCGAGAGCUCGAAAUCGGAAGAAACAGGGCUUCCUUAGAGCCUCUUUUCCUUUUCUUCUUCUUAAUCUUUUUGUUUUUUGGUCUUUAAGGCUUUGUAAUGAGUACUUCAUCAAUGAAAUAGAAAUGAAAUUAUCUGUUACCUUGUCCAUUCUGGUAUUAAAUGGUUGUUUACCAAACUCCAUUUGUCUUAUGCCUUGUUUUGCAUCGGUGUAGUUCGUAAUCCCUCGCCGGUUCUUGCUUUGAGUCGUCGUUUGCUGAACUUCUUUUGUCUUCCGUCUUGCCCGAUACCGACGUAGUUUGAAGGUUCCUUGUCGUUGCCGUAUCGAUUUGCCUUUAGAGACCCGAGAUUUUCGACAGGUGUUUUCUCUUUCGUCGAGACAAGGUCCCUUGUGCUUUCGAUGUAGUUCGUUUUUUACCUAUCGCUGAUGUGGUUCGUCGUUUUUU
Molecule: long non-coding RNA, 660 nt
Filed under: Elaeis guineensis (African oil palm)
Lineage: Eukaryota; Viridiplantae; Streptophyta; Magnoliopsida; Arecales; Arecaceae
Description: long non-coding RNA (EGUI_LNC073304)
Source: RNAcentral